Molecule: ribosomal RNA, 460 nt
Filed under: uncultured bacterium
Lineage: Bacteria
Description: partial 16S ribosomal RNA
Rfam family: Bacterial small subunit ribosomal RNA
Source: RNAcentral
CCUACGGGAGGCAGCAGUGAGGAAUAUUGGUCAAUGGACGAGAGUCUGAACCAGCCAAGUAGCGUGCGGGAUGACUGCCCUAUGGAUUGUAACCUUCUUUUAUAAAGGAAUAAAACGAGGCACGUGUGCCUUUUUGCAUGGCCUUUAUCAAUAGGGAUAGGCGAACUCCAUUCCAGAAGCCGGGGUAAUACGGAGGAGCUGAGGGGUAUGCGGAUUUAUUGGGUUUAAAGGGGGCGUCACUGGGUUUGUAAGUCAGUGGUGAAAUUUUGCGGACAACACGUAAAAUUGCAAUCGGUACUGGCAGUCUUGAGUACAGUUGAGGUAGGCGGAAUUCGUGGUGUAGCGGUGAAAUGCUUAGAUAUCACGAAGAACCCCGAUUGCGAAGGCAGCUUACUAAACUGUGACUGACAUUGAUGCUCGAAAGUGUGGGUAUCAAACAGGAUUAGAUACCCCGGUAGUC